Long non-coding RNA from Felis catus (domestic cat), 1046 nucleotides. RefSeq lists it as uncharacterized. The transcript is spliced from 4 exons. The record is from RefSeq and is a predicted model, not a curated record. NCBI's taxonomy places the organism in Eukaryota, Metazoa, Chordata, Mammalia, Carnivora, Felidae.
CCCUUUAAAGAUCAGCAUAUAGAUCACCUGAGCAGGGGUCUGCGGGAGCUACGGAAGCCUCUGUGCUCACCUAGGGCUCUUUAAACUUCUGAGGUCCAGCAUUCUAUCAUGCCAUUUCAUUUCAGUUUUGUGGUGUGGAGAAUAGAGCUGAGAAACAGGCAACGCAGCAUUUCCUGAAGCACAAUUGUCGUCAUGAUGAGGUGUGGUGCCAGCCAGACGCAGGGUCACCACGAGCCCCCAGAACCCACAGACAUUUAGCAGGAGAUGCUGAGAAGCAGUAGCUACGUGAAGACACAGCUUUCCCCAGACCUCCCCAUGUUCACUUUGGUGGCUGGAAGUGCUCAACCCCUGAGACUGACAGAGACUGAGAGAGAAGGAAGUUUCUCAGCCUGUCACACAGCCUCUGGUCUGCCCCCGCAGCUUACUUGCAAACUUGCACAGCCCUCGUGGGACGUAGAAGAAAGCUGAGGUCUAAAUUUGAGGUAGCGCAGCAUAGAGGAUAAAAGCAGAGACUUCUGGAACUAGACCGCUGAAUGAGAACUGUGGCUCCACCAACGGUGCUCUUCCUCAGCCAUAAAUGGAAAUGAUUAUAAAACAAACCUCAUAGGAUUGUUACCAAGAACAGUGACUGGUAUAUAUUAUAGUUUGUUAACAAAAUACAUUCUUCAAUAUGCAGCUUUGUGUUAACCUCGUUAAUAGUUCCGUUGUAUGCCCUUAUCUUUGUUUUUAUCCUUCUUCUUUGUCACCUAAUUUCACCGUUCCAAUAGCUAAUAUGCCAUUAUGAAAUGCAGUGAUUUUUAAAAAGAAUUUCUUUAUUUUUGGAUCUUUAAGUUGUUAGUAAUGUUUCUCUAUAAUAUAUUUUAUUGCAGUUGGCAUCUUUGUACAUAAUACCUUUAUAUUUCUGGUAAUUUCCUUGGAGUAGAAUGCUCAGAAUUGGGAUCACUGUGUCAAAGCGUAUGAAUGCAUUUUUAAGGCUUUUGAUCAGUAUUGCCAAAGUGAUUUCCAAAAAAGUUGUAUUCAUUUAUUAUUGUUCUAUCUACGAUAAA